RNAcentral lists this ribosomal RNA (266 nucleotides) under uncultured bacterium. Its description in RNAcentral is "partial 16S ribosomal RNA". It matches the Rfam family "Bacterial small subunit ribosomal RNA", at positions 793 to 1055 of the family's 1533-position model. The record is from RNAcentral.
GUCCACGCUGUAAACGAUGGAUGCUAGCCGUUGGUGGGUUUACCCUUCAGUGGCGCAGCUAACGCAUUAAGCAUCCCGCCUGGGGAGUACGGUCGCAAGAUUAAAACUCAAAGGAAUUGACGGGGGCCCGCACAAGCGGUGGAGCAUGUGGUUCAAUUCGAAGCAACGCGCAGAACCUUACCAGCCCUUGACAUGUCCCGUAUGGGUUUCAGAGAUGAGACCCUUCAGUUCGGCUGGCGGGAACACAGGUGCUGCAUGGCUGUCGU